This 207-nucleotide ribosomal RNA is filed under the name uncultured delta proteobacterium. Its description in RNAcentral is "partial 16S ribosomal RNA". It matches the Rfam family "Bacterial small subunit ribosomal RNA", at positions 568 to 774 of the family's 1533-position model. Lineage: Bacteria; Deltaproteobacteria. The record is from RNAcentral.
CGUGCAGGCGGCUGGAUAAGUCUGAUGUGAAAGCCCGGGGCUCAACCCCGGAAGUGCAUUGGAAACUGUCUGGCUUGAGUACCGGAGAGGAUGGGGGAAUUCCCGGUGUAGAGGUGAAAUUCGUAGAGAUCGGGAGGAAUACCAGUGGCGAAGGCGCCCAUCUGGACGGAUACUGACGCUGAGACGCGAAAGCGUGGGGAGCAAACA